CAAGGUGCGGCAGCAAGACACUGACAGGUUAAUCUGGUCGUGAUCGCGCAUCUGCGCUGUUUGACUAACAGAAAAAAAGUCAAAACUCCCAGCAUCUGUCCUUUAGAGUUUUAACUUUGGGAAAUUAUAGCUGCCAAUCAAAAUGCGGGACAGCGUCUCAAUGGGUGGGACGUGGAAAAAGGGAUGAAAAUGCUGUGCAGUUCCGCACAAAGCGGGACACUUGGUCACCCUAUUUUUGACGCACUUAUGGAAGACUGUAGGGUUCAAUCAACGGAGCAUGAGGGUUAAGAUGACUUUGUUUUGCUCCAGACUCUCGUGUCAUUUUGUUCCAGCUCAGGUGUGACGCAUAAGAAAACAGCAGAAGACAGAGAUGUGUGCUUUGGCUCAAGGUCAGAUGUUUGGGGGCUUUAGAGGAUGGACUGCUGCUGCUGCUGCUGCUAAAGACGCCCUUUAUGGAGCCGCAGCCCGCUGACGGGCAGCGAGCGUGUGUUCAGCAGACUUUAAUUGUCUGUCGGUGGCAGUAAAAGAACCGGUGAAAUACACAACCGUAAAAGAGCCGCGGUGCGUCCUGGGAGAUGGAGAUGAAGGAAAACACACCGGGCUGGAGGCUGAUGGCGAGAAGAUCAGACAAAGAGCCUUUCACCCAAAGAUUUAUAUUACUGUCUGCUUGGAAAUGACUCCACACAGAACAGAUCCAUCAGUCAGGUGUUUCCAUAAAAGACCAAAGAACUACAGACUCUUCACAACCUGCUCAAACUCUUGGUACAGGACCUCACCACACGGGUCAAGAAGGUUUCUGUCUCAUUUCUACUCUGAAGCUCACCUUCUCCUGCUCAAGCUGCUGACAAAUGUUUCUGCUGCUCUAAAGUCUGGUCUCCAGAACUUCCUAAAAACUCUCAAAGUCUCUUCUGCUGCAGGUUGCUUUGUAGAACUGUUCCAGAAAACCUCACUAAACCACAUGGAGGGUCCUCAAGAUAGUCGUCCAAAUGAUGGAAGCUGCAAGCCAACGCCUAAAGAACAAACUAAAGCAACGGAACCAAACCCAGUUCUGUGGUGAAGAGAAACAGAGGAAAUGUUUGUCUGCAGCUAAAUAAAGCAGGAAGACACUGAGCUGCUCAGGUGUUCCUGAUAACACCAAGCAGCCACCUGGACAGCCAAUAGGAACACAGCUUCCUAGAAGUUCAGAGGGUUGGGUUAGUGAAGGAAAUUUAGUUUAAAGUUGAAGCAGAAAGUUAACAAAGAAAGUUGAAAACCACCUUCUGAUCCCUGAAAUCUCUGAGUUUCCACACAAAGAACACCUGAACAUGUCAAACUGGUUCCAUAGUAGAACCAUCACUGUAAAAACGUCAUAGUAUGGUGUGUUGCUCAAAAAACAUUAGGACCCGGCUGUCAGGAGACCAACAUGUAAGAAACAUGAGAACAGAGAGAACCCAACCAGUAGGUCACAGUUUAUCAUCAUCUAAUCAUCUCCUGAAGUCCAUAUGGUGAGAGACAUCAGUAUCUGGUUGUUAAUUUACCAGAGGAUGCUUAUAAUCAUGCUGAUGUGGUCUGUACUCUACAGUAUUUUAGUGACUCAAUAAAUGCCUAAGUUGUUUUUUUAAAUGCUUUUUAGUUUUUAAUAAACAUUUAACAGUCUAUAUGUAAUCAAUAAAUGGCCUUUGCCUAUCUUAAGAAAAAUUCACUCAGAACUCUGAUAUGUUAACAGUACUAAAUAAAUCAAUAAAUACAUGCAUACACACAUAAAUAAGUUUAUACAUUAACUGUGUUAAGAUAAGAUUUAGAUUUUUAAAAAAGUUGUUUAUGUUUUUGCAGAAUCCAGUAUUACUCACUGGUUGGUCAUUACAUUUUGUUAGUUUGAUUUCACUGUUUAAAAUGAUGCCACCUCUUUUCAGACAGAACCUGUGAUAAUAAAACAAUACAAAAUGUUUAGUUCCGUGUUAAUAAAGCACUUAAAGCUUUAAGUAUGGCUGAAUGCUUUUUUCAAAAUUAAAUAUAUCACUCCUUAGGUGGUAGUGGCCCCAAGUUCAGUAAAGUUGGAAAGAUAUUCACAGAUUGGGACUUCCAGCAUCAAUAACUCAUUAGAUAUAGGUUGUCAAAACAUAAACGGUGCCUCUUUCCCAUUGUUGCAAGGCAGACAAUGUGCUACAAGCCCAGUUUUAUCAAAAGUAACUGUCUUUCAAGCUACAGGAAUAACAUUGGUGUCUAUGGAGUGAACAGGGUCCGUCUGCAAUUUGCAAAACCGCUGCAACAGUAAAGAGAGACAAAUAUUCAAUAACUUCACUCUUAUACAUUGUAGUGUCACUAAAAUCACUGCAGCCUUCAACUGGCUCCUGUUGACAAAGUGUUUUAACCGAAAUGUAAAUGCUGUAAUUUGAUUCUUUUAAUGAACCAUGUAACUUGAAUGGAUGUGAUGCUGGUGUGACCACAGUGCACACGUCUGAUGUUGCUCACAGUGGUCCAAGGGACGCUCAGGGAGUUUGUGUGUUUGCUCACACUCAGACUGAAAAAUUACAGGGAACAUUGCAUGGGAGGUAUUUAAAAGUGACAAUUUAUUAUUUUUAUGUACUUGUAUAUUAUUUGGAAGUUACCUCUUGAAUUUAUGUGACACCUGAUGUGAAAUAUCAUGCAGUUACAGAAUAUUAACUACCUUACCGUUCAAAAGUUUGGGGUCACUUAGAAAAAGUGGGA
Long non-coding RNA from Amphiprion ocellaris (clown anemonefish), 2688 nucleotides. RefSeq lists it as uncharacterized. The transcript is spliced from 3 exons. Lineage: Eukaryota; Metazoa; Chordata; Actinopteri; Pomacentridae. The record is from RefSeq and is a predicted model, not a curated record.